GAUGAACGCUGGCGGCGUGCCUAAUACAUGCAAGUCGAGCGAACGGACGAGAAGCUUGCUUCUCUGAUGUUAGCGGCGGACGGGUGAGUAACACGUGGAUAACCUACCUAUAAGACUGGGAUAACUUCGGGAAACCGGAGCUAAUACCGGAUAAUAUUUUGAACCGCAUGGUUCAAAAGUGAAAGACGGUCUUGCUGUCACUUAUAGAUGGAUCCGCGCUGCAUUAGCUAGUUGGUAAGGUAACGGCUUACCAAGGCAACGAUGCAUAGCCGACCUGAGAGGGUGAUCGGCCGCACUGGAACUGAGACACGGUCCAGACUCCUAAGGGAGGCAGCAGUAGGGAAUCUUCCGCAAUGGGCGAAAGCCUGACGGAGCAAGGCCGCGUGAGUGAUGAAGGUCUUCGGAUCGUAAAACUCUGUUAUUAGGGAAGAACAUAUGUGUAAGUAACUGUGCACAUCGUGACGGUACCUAAUCAGAAAGCCACGGCUAACUACGUG
This 497-nucleotide ribosomal RNA is filed under the name uncultured bacterium. RNAcentral's name for it is "partial 16S ribosomal RNA". It matches the Rfam family "Bacterial small subunit ribosomal RNA", at positions 28 to 507 of the family's 1533-position model. The record is from RNAcentral.